Molecule: ribosomal RNA, 468 nt
Filed under: uncultured bacterium
Lineage: Bacteria
Description: partial 16S ribosomal RNA
Rfam family: Bacterial small subunit ribosomal RNA
Source: RNAcentral
GACGAACGCUGGCGGCGUGCUUAACACAUGCAAGUCGAACGGAAAGGCCCUGCUUUUGUGGGGUGCUCGAGUGGCGAACGGGUGAGUAACACGUGAGUAACCUGCCCUUGACUUUGGGAUAACUUCAGGAAACUGGGGCUAAUACCGGAUAGGAGCUCCUGCUGCAUGGUGGGGGUUGGAAAGUUUCGGCGGUUGGGGAUGGACUCGCGGCUUAUCAGCUUGUUGGUGGGGUAGUGGCUUACCAAGGCUUUGACGGGUAGCCGGCCUGAGAGGGUGACCGGCCACAUUGGGACUGAGAUACGGCCCAGACUCCUACGGGAGGCAGCAGUGGGGAAUAUUGCAAAAUGGGCGGAAGCCUGAUGCAGCAACGCCGCGUGCGGGAUGAAGGCCUUCGGGUUGUAAACCGAUUUCGCCUGUGACGAAGCGUGAGUGACGGUAAUGGGUAAAGAAGCACCGGCUAACUACGUG